Molecule: ribosomal RNA, 2900 nt
Filed under: Klebsiella pneumoniae
Lineage: Bacteria; Pseudomonadati; Pseudomonadota; Gammaproteobacteria; Enterobacterales; Enterobacteriaceae
Description: bacterial LSU rRNA
Rfam family: Bacterial large subunit ribosomal RNA
Source: RNAcentral
UUAAGCGACUAAGCGUACACGGUGGAUGCCCUGGCAGUCAGAGGCGAUGAAGGACGUGCUAAUCUGCGAAAAGCGUCGGUAAGGUGAUAUGAACCGUUAUAACCGGCGAUGUCCGAAUGGGGAAACCCAGUGCAAUUCGUUGCACUAUCGUUAACUGAAUACAUAGGUUAACGAGGCGAACCGGGGGAACUGAAACAUCUAAGUACCCCGAGGAAAAGAAAUCAACCGAGAUUCCCCCAGUAGCGGCGAGCGAACGGGGAGCAGCCCAGAGUCUGAAUCAGCUUGUGUGUUAGUGGAACGGUCUGGAAAGUCCGACGGUACAGGGUGAUAGUCCCGUACACCAAAAUGCACAGGCUGUGAACUCGAAGAGUAGGGCGGGACACGUGGUAUCCUGUCUGAAUAUGGGGGGACCAUCCUCCAAGGCUAAAUACUCCUGACUGACCGAUAGUGAACCAGUACCGUGAGGGAAAGGCGAAAAGAACCCCGGCGAGGGGAGUGAAAAAGAACCUGAAACCGUGUACGUACAAGCAGUGGGAGCACCUUCGGGUGUGACUGCGUACCUUUUGUAUAAUGGGUCAGCGACUUAUAUUCUGUAGCAAGGUUAACCGUAUAGGGGAGCCGCAGGGAAACCGAGUCUUAACUGGGCGUUAAGUUGCAGGGUAUAGACCCGAAACCCGGUGAUCUAGCCAUGGGCAGGUUGAAGGUUGGGUAACACUAACUGGAGGACCGAACCGACUAAUGUUGAAAAAUUAGCGGAUGACUUGUGGCUGGGGGUGAAAGGCCAAUCAAACCGGGAGAUAGCUGGUUCUCCCCGAAAGCUAUUUAGGUAGCGCCUCGUGAACUCAUCUUCGGGGGUAGAGCACUGUUUCGGCUAGGGGGUCAUCCCGACUUACCAACCCGAUGCAAACUACGAAUACCGAAGAAUGUUAUCACGGGAGACACACGGCGGGUGCUAACGUCCGUCGUGAAGAGGGAAACAACCCAGACCGCCAGCUAAGGUCCCAAAGUCAUGGUUAAGUGGGAAACGAUGUGGGAAGGCACAGACAGCCAGGAUGUUGGCUUAGAAGCAGCCAUCAUUUAAAGAAAGCGUAAUAGCUCACUGGUCGAGUCGGCCUGCGCGGAAGAUGUAACGGGGCUAAACCAUGCACCGAAGCUGCGGCAGCGACACUAUGUGUUGUUGGGUAGGGGAGCGUUCUGUAAGCCUGCGAAGGUGACCUGUGAGGGUUGCUGGAGGUAUCAGAAGUGCGAAUGCUGACAUAAGUAACGAUAAAGCGGGUGAAAAGCCCGCUCGCCGGAAGACCAAGGGUUCCUGUCCAACGUUAAUCGGGGCAGGGUGAGUCGACCCCUAAGGCGAGGCCGAAAGGCGUAGUCGAUGGGAAACAGGUUAAUAUUCCUGUACUUGGUGUUACUGCGAAGGGGGGACGGAGAAGGCUAUGUUAGCCGGGCGACGGUUGUCCCGGUUUAAGCAUGUAGGCUGGUUAUCCAGGCAAAUCCGGAUAAUCAAGGCUGAGGUGUGAUGACGAGGCACUACGGUGCUGAAGUAACAAAUGCCCUGCUUCCAGGAAAAGCCUCUAAGCAUCAGGUAACAUCAAAUCGUACCCCAAACCGACACAGGUGGUCAGGUAGAGAAUACCAAGGCGCUUGAGAGAACUCGGGUGAAGGAACUAGGCAAAAUGGUGCCGUAACUUCGGGAGAAGGCACGCUGGUGUGUAGGUGAAGUCCCUGCGGAUGGAGCUGAGACCAGUCGAAGAUACCAGCUGGCUGCAACUGUUUAUUAAAAACACAGCACUGUGCAAACACGAAAGUGGACGUAUACGGUGUGACGCCUGCCCGGUGCCGGAAGGUUAAUUGAUGGGGUUAUCCGUAAGGAGAAGCUCUUGAUCGAAGCCCCGGUAAACGGCGGCCGUAACUAUAACGGUCCUAAGGUAGCGAAAUUCCUUGUCGGGUAAGUUCCGACCUGCACGAAUGGCGUAAUGAUGGCCAGGCUGUCUCCACCCGAGACUCAGUGAAAUUGAACUCGCUGUGAAGAUGCAGUGUACCCGCGGCAAGACGGAAAGACCCCGUGAACCUUUACUAUAGCUUGACACUGAACAUUGAGCCUUGAUGUGUAGGAUAGGUGGGAGGCUUUGAAGCGUGGACGCCAGUCUGCGUGGAGCCAACCUUGAAAUACCACCCUUUAAUGUUUGAUGUUCUAACGUUGGCCCCUGAUCGGGGUUGCGGACAGUGUCUGGUGGGUAGUUUGACUGGGGCGGUCUCCUCCCAAAGCGUAACGGAGGAGCACGAAGGUUAGCUAAUCCUGGUCGGACAUCAGGAGGUUAGUGCAAUGGCAUAAGCUAGCUUGACUGCGAGCGUGACGGCGCGAGCAGGUGCGAAAGCAGGUCAUAGUGAUCCGGUGGUUCUGAAUGGAAGGGCCAUCGCUCAACGGAUAAAAGGUACUCCGGGGAUAACAGGCUGAUACCGCCCAAGAGUUCAUAUCGACGGCGGUGUUUGGCACCUCGAUGUCGGCUCAUCACAUCCUGGGGCUGAAGUAGGUCCCAAGGGUAUGGCUGUUCGCCAUUUAAAGUGGUACGCGAGCUGGGUUUAGAACGUCGUGAGACAGUUCGGUCCCUAUCUGCCGUGGGCGCUGGAGAAUUGAGGGGGGCUGCUCCUAGUACGAGAGGACCGGAGUGGACGCAUCACUGGUGUUCGGGUUGUCAUGCCAAUGGCACUGCCCGGUAGCUAAAUGCGGAAGAGAUAAGUGCUGAAAGCAUCUAAGCACGAAACUUGCCCCGAGAUGAGUUCUCCCUGAGACUUUAAGUCUCCUGAAGGAACGUUGAAGACGACGACGUUGAUAGGCCGGGUGUGUAAGCGCAGCGAUGCGUUGAGCUAACCGGUACUAAUGAACCGUGAGGCUUAACCUU